This 494-nucleotide ribosomal RNA is filed under the name uncultured bacterium. Its description in RNAcentral is "partial 16S ribosomal RNA". It matches the Rfam family "Bacterial small subunit ribosomal RNA", at positions 28 to 507 of the family's 1533-position model. The record is from RNAcentral.
GACGAACGCUGGCGGCGUGCUUAACACAUGCAAGUCGAACGGUGAAGCGCCUUCCUUUUUGGUGGGUGUGGAUGAGUGGCGAACGGGUGAGUAACACGUGAGUAACCUGCCCCCUUCUUCUGGAUAACCGCAUGAAAGUGUGGCUAGUACGGGAUAUUCUGGGUCUGUCGCAUGAUGGGUCUGGGAAAGAUAUUGUUUCGGUGGGGGAUGGGCUCGCGGCCUAUCAGCUUGUUGGUGGGGUGAUGGCCUACCAAGGCGGUGACGGGUAGCCGGCCUGAGAGGGUGGACGGUCACACUGGGACUGAGACACGGCCCAGACUCCUACGGGAGGCAGCAGUGGGGAAUAUUGCACAAUGGGCGCAAGCCUGAUGCAGCGACGCCGCGUGAGGGAUGGAGGCCUGCGGGUUGUGAACCUCUUUCGCCAGUGAAGCAGGCCUGCCUCGUUUGUGGGUGGGUUGACGGUAGCUGGAUAAGAAGCGCCGGCUAACUACGUG